RNAcentral lists this transfer RNA (69 nucleotides) under Drepanocerus kirbyi. Its description in RNAcentral is "tRNA-Ala". The record is from RNAcentral. Lineage: Eukaryota; Metazoa; Arthropoda; Insecta; Coleoptera; Scarabaeidae.
AGGGUAAUAGUUAAAAUCCAUAACAUUUAAUUUGCAUUUAAAAAAUAUUAGUAUAGCUAAUUUACCUUG